GGACGAGAGAGCUGAGGAGCUGCAGAGGAGGAAAAGGGAAGAGCAAGGGAAAGUAUCUGCAAGGUUCAUCGAGGCUCUGAGAGCUCGGAUGAAGGAGCGAGUGUCUCAGGAGAAGCUGGAGCCUCCUCCUCUCUGCUGCUGCGCAUCAUCUUUCUGGGACUCCAGAAUCAUAACGCUUAAAAUCACAAGGGAGUACAAGUAGAAAUAAAACGUUGAGUUCAAAGGUACUGCAAUAAAAAAGAUGAACAGGGCUAAGGUGAAUGCUCAGUUCUGAUUGGUCAUUUGGACCUUCUGCAGCAAUAAGACCAAAGUCUAAGGAUAGUGAGAGCUGUAAAGCUUCAAUGAAUAUAAGCUCAUCGAAACACACAUUUUACUUUAAUGUCAUGAAGAAGCUUAAUCUUAAAAUAGUGUUCAAUAUCAUGUGGUAUGAUCCUUAAUACCAAUGAAAGGGUGAAGAUAUGAUCAAAUGAAUAAAUGAGAGUAAAAAAGUGUCAGGAAGAAAAACAAAAACACUUGAGUUGAUGGAAUUGAUGUAGAUAUUAGGAUUAUUAUUUAUACAUUUACUGUGAUAAAUGUUGAAAAAUAAAUAUGAAUGAGUUUGCUCAUGUUUUGAAGAAAUAUUCCCAAAAUGAAUUGAACAUACAUUUAGCCAUUUUGAAUUUUAUUGACAGAGAAAACACGAUAAACAAAUAAAAACUGAACAGCAGCUGUGGUUCCUAACAACUCACAUUGAGAGAGUAUCUUUACUCCAACUGGAUGAUAUGAACACAGAGAGACAGACGUGUUGGCAGAACAUGUUUCCUGUUUGUGACAGAAAAAUAAAACCAUGUGAAACUGGUUUAGUGUCGCUCAGCCUGUUGAAAUGUUGAGUCCUCACUGGAGGACAAAGGCACGAUCCUCUCCUUUUCUGUGGCAUUUUAUGAGCUUUUUAAUAAUUGACUAAGUGGAUAAAGCAUAAAGGAGCAGUUUGUUUAUUGAGCUGUCCCAUAGACUAAGUCUGACUCCUGCAGGGGCCGGAGUUUGAAACCUGACAAAAAAAGUCUGUCUGCUGCAAGUUGCCCCCUCUCCCCUUCUUUCAUUAAAUAAAUGCAAAAAGCAGAAAUAAAUGAUCUUUAACAUA
Gymnodraco acuticeps is the source of this 1120-nucleotide long non-coding RNA. RefSeq lists it as uncharacterized. The transcript is spliced from 2 exons. The record is from RefSeq and is a predicted model, not a curated record. Lineage: Eukaryota; Metazoa; Chordata; Actinopteri; Perciformes; Bathydraconidae.